CGGCACACCUGCCCGGCAGGCACCGGCCCCCACCUCACACCCACGGAAGGUCUGGACCACCCAACCUCCAAGCCCCCCUGAAGCUUGAGUCCCAGGUGGAGUUGGGGGGGAUCCGCUGGCCCCAGGGAGGGCAGGGGUUUUCCAGAUGGGACACAAGAAGAGCGAAUCCCUCACCCCAGUGAGAGGCCCCUGCUGUUUGAAAUACUCGACAAGAAGGUGCAGGCCCAGGCUCGGGGCAGAGGACACGCCAGGCUCACUGCCCCGUGGGCAGAAGGAGGGUCAGCAAAGAUGGCACCGAGGGGUUCUAGUGGGGAGCAGAGGUGCAGGUGGCCACAGCCGGGCAUCUCAGCACCCCUGCGUGCACCCCGGGGGGACAGCACAGGGAGGAGGCCCCACGUCUAGGCCUGGCUGAAGCAACCGUCACCCACACAGAAGGCGGACGGCCCGCUCCUUGGAAAGGCUCAGCUGCCCCCGGGAAGUUUGAGUAGACGCCAUGUGCCACCAACUGUCCCCCUCACAGGGACCUACUCAAGAGCAAUGGAAGCCACAUGAAGACUCAUCCCCAAACUGGAUACACCCCAAAUGCCAGCCAGUGAGGGAGCGACCCCAGACUCCUGCAGGGGGAAGGCCACGUCCAGGGAGUCAGUCCAGUCCUGGAGGACAUGCCUGGGACCUGACGUGAACAGGUUGUCAGAGACGCCCGGGGGGGGGGGGACAGAAGGUCAGAGGUCACCAUGGCCGAGGCUGGGAGGGCGUAGGUGCUGCGACAGGCCAGCCGCCCCAGGGACCUCCCUGCCUCCACGGCUCUUGGGUCGGCCUGGGCCCGAUCUGCACUCGCACAGCGGACACUGCGGUGAGUCGCGCUCGCUGAGGCGGAAGGGAGCCUCAGGGCGGCCGUGAACGGUUCUCAGGGCGUCUCUGCCCGGGCCACCGUCCCCCAAUCCUCAGGCCUCCUGUUGGCCGGGAGCUGGACGCCCUCCCUCCUGGGCCAUCUCUCCGUCCCCUGUGGAUGCCGGGGACCCCAAAACCUUUGCAGACGGAGUGCCUCAGACUCAGGCCUCAUGCUCUCAGUCUGGGGGCUGGAAGUCGGGAUCCAAGUCCAAGGCUGCCUCCUCCCAGGCUCUCCCUUCGACUUGUAGAUGGGUCCCUUGUCCUCGCAUGGUCCUCUGUGUCUGUCCUGAUCUCUUCUCACAAGAACCCCAUCUUGUAAGAUCAGGCCGCCUGACCCUCAUCCUCCCCCCAGCCUCAGUGUGGACCUGGCCUUCCAACAAGGCCAGGCCCAGGUCCCAGGGUCAGGACCCAGCGUAUAUAUGGGGGCCACUUGGGCUUGUAGAUGGGGCCGAGAGAAGGCCGAAGGGCUGGGGCAGGGCUGUCCCCCGUGGGCAGGACCCUGGGGACCCUCACCUCCCCGCUGGUGCCCCUGCCCAUUCAGGGGCAGCCCAGGACCUUGCUGGGGCCCUACGUGUUUGGGACGGAGCACAAGGGGAGGGGAGGAGGAGGACAAUGACGAAGGGGGCACUCUGUCCACACCCCUCCACCCCCCGGGCUGUGGAGGGCGCUGGAUCCCACGCAGGGACCCGCCUGUCGCUGAGACCUGUGGCUCUAGAGGCUCCUCGGCAGCCUGACCCCAGGCAGGAAGCAGAUCACAGGCUCCGCUGAGCAGCAGCGGUGGCCAGAGCCACUGCUGGACAGUGGGGCCUGUGCCCCUGGGUCUCCAUGGCAAGGGCCACCUCAGACUGCCAGUGCCCAACUCCCCGGUCUUGGUCAGUGUGGGCUGCUGUGACGGAGGACCAGGGACUGGGGCCUCACGGAUGGCAGAAGUGUCUCUGUCCCUGUCCUGUGUGCUGGAAGACCCGGGGCCCGUGCUGCCGGUUCUGCUGAUGGCCUCUUCCGAGCCGCAGCCUGACCCGUCUCCUGUG
This 1919-nucleotide long non-coding RNA is filed under the name Marmota monax (woodchuck). The record is from RNAcentral. Lineage: Eukaryota; Metazoa; Chordata; Mammalia; Rodentia; Sciuridae.